This 346-nucleotide ribosomal RNA is filed under the name Cardinium endosymbiont of Bemisia tabaci. Its description in RNAcentral is "bacterial SSU rRNA". It matches the Rfam family "Bacterial small subunit ribosomal RNA", at positions 271 to 614 of the family's 1533-position model. The record is from RNAcentral. Lineage: Bacteria; Pseudomonadati; Bacteroidota; Cytophagia; Cytophagales; Amoebophilaceae.
AGGCUACGAUGGGUAGGGGUUCUUAGUGGAAGGUCCCCCACACUGGCACUGAGAUACGGGCCAGACUCCUACGGGAGGCAGCAGUAGGGAAUAUUGGUCAAUGGGCGCAAGCCUGAACCAGCCAUGCCGCGUGCAGGAUGAAGGCUCUCUGAGUUGUAAACUGCUUUUGUACAGGAGCAAAAAAAUCCCUGCGGGGGUUCUUGAGAGUACUGUAAGAAUAAGCACCGGCUAAUUCCGUGCCAGCAGCCGCGGUAAUACGGGAGGUGCAAGCGUUAUCCGGUUUUAUUGGGUUUAAAGGGUGCGUAGGCGGCUUAUUAAGUCAGUUGUGAAAUCCUAGUGCUUAACG